GGCGCGUUUAUUCCAUUACUUUGGAGCCAGUCCCAGCGACUAUGUCGUAUGGACGAAGCGCUUAUUUAUCGGAGAGAAACCGAUAAGUAAAACGCAUCAAAGUCCUGCAGCAGAAAAUCAAA
This 122-nucleotide unclassified non-coding RNA is filed under the name Deltaproteobacteria bacterium. Its description in RNAcentral is "RNA (110-MER) from Deltaproteobacteria bacterium (PDB 6NY2, chain B)". Lineage: Bacteria; Pseudomonadati; Myxococcota; Myxococcia. The record is from RNAcentral. RNAcentral also lists the same sequence under 1 other name.